This 66-nucleotide transfer RNA is filed under the name Pictichromis paccagnellae (royal dottyback). RNAcentral's name for it is "tRNA-Cys". The record is from RNAcentral. Lineage: Eukaryota; Metazoa; Chordata; Actinopteri; Pseudochromidae.
AGCUCUAAGGUGUUUGACAUGUGGGAUUGCAAAUCCCGAGUCGCAGAUUAAUCCCUGCUAGAGCUU